This 127-nucleotide non-coding RNA is filed under the name pig gut metagenome. RNAcentral's name for it is "SAM riboswitch (S box leader)". It matches the Rfam family "SAM riboswitch aptamer (S box leader)". From Rfam's summary of the family: The SAM riboswitch is found upstream of a number of genes which code for proteins involved in methionine or cysteine biosynthesis in Gram-positive bacteria. The SAM riboswitch acts at the level of transcription termination control. The record is from RNAcentral.
CCUUAUUAAGAGCGGCGGAGGGAAUAGGCCCUGUGAAGCCCGGCAACCUGCGAUGUUUUUCCUGCAUAUUGCAGAAAACAGGUAAAGGUGCUAAAUCCUACAGGAUAUUGUAUUCUGAAAGAUGAGG